Molecule: long non-coding RNA, 1360 nt
Organism: Oxyura jamaicensis (ruddy duck)
Lineage: Eukaryota; Metazoa; Chordata; Aves; Anseriformes; Anatidae
Exons: 4
Source: RefSeq, a predicted model, not a curated record
CAGCAUGAAAUCUCCAUAUACUUUUUCUGCUAGCCAGCUGUUUCAUACAAGAGCACAGUCUUCAACUCUUGAACUUUGUAAAAGUGAUGGUCUGAAGGAAAGAACACUCUUCCAAGCCAAGUAGCUUCUGGACAACCACAUGCUUCUUCCUGUAAUAGAAGAUUAAAUUCUCACUGUGAACUUCCUUAAGUCCAGAGUCAGCUAUCAGGAAAAUACUUAAAUUUCUCUUAGUCAAUUGAAAAGGUUGUAAGCAAUGAUAGGGUCAUAGCUUCAUUUCAGUGGACAACAGAGGAGGAAAUUUCACCUAUGAGACAUUUUUGUCAAUAUUCACUGUAAUUUUAACACUUCUUAGCCAUGGAUGCAAAGAACCAAAAGAAUACAAUUAGUCAACUCAACCACACUGUAGUGUCUUACUUUCUAUGGUUACAAAUAAUACAUUAAAAAUUUCAUCCUUCAGUUUUCCUAAUGAAUGCUACAGAUUUCUUUUCUACUACCUAUUUUUUGAACCAACUUGCUAAAACAAAACAAGUGUCAUUCAGUUUAUUACAAGAACGAAGGUAGAAUCAGAACUAAUUUUACAUCUGGAUUACUACUGUCUUACAAAAGGACAUAUUGUAUACAUAUUAAUCAUUUAUAUGAAACUGAUUAAACAUAGAAGUUGCAGACUUUUCUUGAAUGUAAUUGAAAAACCUUUGUAUGUUGUAGAGCACUGAUUCUCACUAGAACUUUUGGGUCAUAUAUAAAAAUGUAUAUUGCCACUAGCUUCUUAAACGUGAUUCUUUAUUUCACUUAUCUUGUGUCAGAACUCUAUUAAUAUUCUUUAUUGACUGAUGCAAAAAAAAAUAAAAGUCAGCAGACAAAAGUAUUUUCAAAUCAGAGGGUUGUAUUAAAUAAUUUAUUUUAAAAUAUUUAAAUAAUAUUAUAUAAAUGUUAUAGCCACGUUUCUUUGUCUUAUGAGUGUCUGCCUGCUGCAUGACUUGUUUUCCGUACAUGUCCUUUUCUGUUAGCCUCUUUUCUUUAAGAUUACUUUUAUUAUCACACAUUUCUCAAAUUAUUUAUUUUUAUUUGAAAGUUAUUUGAGAACUGCGUAACUCUUUCCACAUCUGAUACUUCUACCAAAACCAAACCAAUUACAACAAAAACCACAUUGGCUUGUAUGGUACUAAAGUAAAUAUUCAGGCUUACAUCACUGUAAAUUCUGAGAGCUGAUGGGGUUAGCUCCACUCAACGCUGUUUGCAUUUAUUCCUCCAGGUGCUGUUACUCCCUAUGCCACCUUGGGUGAAAAUUUUCUGAUGUGUGGCCUAGAAAAUACCAAUACGUUCAAAAGUGACCGGCAGUCUGUGUGUAGAGGAAGGAGGG